AGGACGAACGCUGGCGGCGUGCCUAACACAUGCAAGUCGAGCGAGGAGAUCCUUCGGGAUGAUCCUAGCGGCGGACGGGUGAGUAACACGUGGGCAACCUGCCUCAUAGAGAGGAAUAGCCUUCCGAAAGGGAGAUUAAUACCUCAUAACAUUGCAGUUUCGCAUGGAACAGCAAUUAAAGGAGUAAUCCGCUAUGAGAUGGGCCCGCGGCGCAUUAGCUAGUUGGUGAGGUAACGGCUCACCAAGGCGACGAUGCGUAGCCGACCUGAGAGGGCGAUCGGCCACAUUGGGACUGAGACACGGCCCAGACUCCUACGGGAGGCAGCAGUGGGGAAUAUUGCACAAUGGGGGAAACCCUGAUGCAAGCAACGCCGCGUGAGUGAUGACGGCCUUCGGGUUGUAAAGCUCUGUCUUCAGGGACGAUAAUGACGGUACCUGAGGAGGAAGCCACGGCUAACUACGUGCCAGCCGCUGC
RNAcentral lists this ribosomal RNA (475 nucleotides) under uncultured bacterium. RNAcentral describes it as "bacterial SSU rRNA". It matches the Rfam family "Bacterial small subunit ribosomal RNA", at positions 26 to 518 of the family's 1533-position model. The record is from RNAcentral.